UGCACGACCACGGGCUCUCCUCUCUCCCUCUCCUCCCGAUCCCAGCCGCCAGGAGGCGCACGACCUGCGCGACGCUCGAUCUGGUGCCGUGCCGGCCGAUGGCCGACGCCGGUGAUCAGAGCACACUACACCACCGGUCUUCCUCAGCUCCUCCUUUCCUUCGCGCGCCCUACCUCCUCGCUGCACGCCACGCGGGAGGGCUCGCGCCCGCCGCUCGACCAGAGCCACCGCUAGCUAGUCCGGUUCCGCGCCGGCUGCCGGCCGAUGGCCGACGGAGGUGUUCGAAGCAUCCUACACCACCAGUCUUCUUCGUCUCCUCCUUUCGUUUGCAUUCCCGAGCUCCUCGCUGUACGCCGCCCGGGAGGGCUCGUGCUCGCCGCUCGACCAGAGCCACCGCCAGUUGGUCGUUGCUGCACUUGCCCGCGACCCCUCCGCCCCCUCUACACCGCCCUCCACCUCAAGUUCUGAUGCACAUGUGUUUGUGGAUGUUCUCAGUUAUUUUUUGCACACAAGGUGUUUGUGUGUUUGUCCCAGCCAGUUUCAGUCACAGAUCCUUGAGUGAAGUAGCCACCGAGCAGUAAGGCCAUCGAGUGACACAAGACCACGGGACAGCGUGAGAAGAAGCAGAGGGGUGUCUGGCGGGAUGGGGAAGACCACGAGGAUGUGUGGCGAUGGAGUGCAAUCCCAAAGAAGAAGAACAUUGCAAAGAAAGACCCUAGCCAAGUGCCACCCAAUUCUCUCUCACCGACCCAUCUAAUGGCCAUCAAUUCAAUUGGUCCAAGUUGUUGCGUUGACCUUCCCAUUGAUCCACUACAUCCACGCUCAGCUGCUUCUGCUAUGCUUCUUCUCCAUGGCAUUGCCGACUGCCAGCGUGCCUGACAACGCGCCUUAUGUGACCUGAUAUGAUGCUCCUCUACGUGUUCUUAUCACCCCGGUUUCCAUGAGGAGAGAUGUUCUGCAGUUCUGUGGCUCUACUCCAUAGUAAUGAUGGAGUCUCCUCCAGAUGGAUAGCAAUUAUCUCGGGAUCAUGAAUAGCUUUGGUGCCCUCUCUCACUCAUGGUGAGGCCAUGCGUGUUUGCCAUGGUUGUGGCUACGAAAUCUCAGACUGAGUCGCUUUGGUCGGGCACUAUUCAGGAAAUAUGACAGCGAAGACGGCCUACAUGCCUCUCGAUCGAGUAAAUCUCUCCUGGCCUUCAAGAGGCUGCUGGAAAUCAACCACCGCGAGGUCCUCAAGGAGCUCUACCACAGGAAAAUCAACAACGUUCGAUACGUAUUCUGUUCCAAAGCUAUCUACUUCAUGGUGUACGAGAAGUACCGCAGCUGGCUCCUAGGCACUAUUCCCUCGCUUGGCGGCAGCCUGGUCAGGACUUGCUUGUCGGGUCGGCCGUGACGGCACAUCCCCAAUAGAUACGUAUCCCCUCAACUCGCCUUCUGUCAUAGUUUGCUUGGUACCCUCACUAAUACAUGUUCGCUCCGAUAUAUGUUAUGACAAUCUGAAGCGCGUCGGGCCGUGGACAAUGUUCGAUAAAGCGGCCAUUACUAGCGACGUGAUUGAGUACAUCCGCUCCCCAUGUAUGACAUAUUGUAGGCAUUGGCCACAAUCCUUUAAUUGACUAGAAACACAGGAGACCUGUAGUUUAAGAUGGUGCUCGUCUAUGCCUUUUUGGUCUAACUCUGAAAUCCAUCAGUACCUCUAGUUAGCCAAGGACGAGGUUGAAUUUUCGUUGCCUCAGAUUUGAUGUAGCGUGUUGGCAUUGCUAACUUACCCAUAACACAUGGUCAAUCGAGUUUCAUUUUAGUAUUGUGAGUCUAGGAGCGCACAUGCACUCUGUUUACUGGCCAUCGAAGAGGGGCUGCCUUUGCACGUCAUGGGGUUCAGAUUGAAGGAAAAUUGGGCUGGACUGUUCUGCUCAUGUUAAUUGAUGGAGCUAAAUGUAUUGCCUGGCGGAAGAUUAGUAUAAUAGAAAAAUGGGGUAGGGUUGCUCGUCCGUUCCGUAUAGGUAAGGUUUGUAAUUUGGAAUACCGAGCAAGUUCUCAAGUAGUGACACCCUGAAGUUUCAUUCUAAUUUCAUCAGGUGUUUGGUGCAUGAGGAGAUUUUUCAUAGUAAUCAUAACACUUCCUUUCCAGAUAGCAAGAUGAAACUAAAUAUUUUGUUCAUAGUAAUCAUACCUAUUCCUUUCAAGCUGAAACUAGACACAUCCUCAUCAGAUAAAUUGAUUCAUGUUCUUACUUCAUGUCCAGACAGCAAGACGAAACUAAAUACUUUUGCUAGCGUAUUUGCUGGAUCUUGAUUUUCGUAUAUGUUUAGAUUUGUCUUACACAUGUUGAAGAACCAGAUUCAGAGUAUUGCCAAGGGAUAGCCCAACGUCUUCUUGUGAAACUAGAUUAAUUGUACAAGAUUGAAUGUGACAAAACAUUAUACAUGAUAAUCGUUUCUUUGAAGUUUGAAGGUGGCACAUGACAUCUUUUCAAUUAUAUAUUCAUUUAAUUCAGUUGGAGAGGAAUAAAUUAUGUUAAAAAUCAGUACCAUGAUAUUUUAGUAUGAUUGGUCCUUUUGGAGUACAUUUAUAACACAAAAGAAUUGUUUGGUGGCCUCAUACAUUUUUCUCGUGCCUACCUUUGCAGCACAUCAGUGACAACAUGCUUGGCCAUAUGUCUCAAUUUCGGUGUCUGAAAGCACAAGAUUAGAUGACUUUUCAGAUGAUCGGAGACAUGGUAAGGUCUCUAUAUUAAAGUUAUUAUGAGUCAACCUAAUAUUUUAUUCUGUUUAUUGCAAAUAGAACCAGAAGCCAAGAUACGAGUACGCAAUUCAGAACCUUUAUGUGGUGUGAACAAGAUGAACAACAGGAGAGAAUGGUGAGGGAAUCGGAAUUAAAUGGAAAACAGGGUUAGCGGCUCAGAUCAGCGACAUGAACUCCUCAAUUUUCCCUAUUGUAUUAGCCCAAGUACGGAGUAUCUUUAUCCUGCUCUCGCAGUGGGAUACGAAACGCACUCUUCCAUCCAGUUCCUCCUCCCGGUCAACCCAAGUACAUUGCAAACGAUGUUUGCUUGUAGGGAAGCAUCAUUGAAUUAGAUGUAUUUACGAGUUAUAAAUGUUAAGUACGUGGAUACUUUUUCCCCGUUGCAACGCACGGGCAUUUUGUAUCGGGUUGUCCUGGUGUUGCAACCUAGGAAGUAUAAACAGGGUCCAUCGUCACCAUGGAUGAAAACCUUGUCAAGCCUUACUUUUUGCAGGUUGCCUUAUUUCUGUUUCUUUUAGAGAAAAGAUAGCAAUUUCGUUCAUUACAAUCCUGUUGCACGGACCCUGCUAGAUCGCGGUGCGUCGAGAUCAUAAUUGCUACACUCAAAGGUUACAUUGACCAUAUUGCUGACAUUUGGAAAAAUUAUAUUAAAAAUGUUGCAUAAUA
Triticum urartu is the source of this 3408-nucleotide long non-coding RNA. RefSeq lists it as uncharacterized. Lineage: Eukaryota; Viridiplantae; Streptophyta; Magnoliopsida; Poales; Poaceae. The record is from RefSeq and is a predicted model, not a curated record.